Molecule: transfer RNA, 73 nt
Filed under: Felis catus (domestic cat)
Lineage: Eukaryota; Metazoa; Chordata; Mammalia; Carnivora; Felidae
Rfam family: tRNA
About the family: Transfer RNA (tRNA) molecules are approximately 80 nucleotides in length. Their secondary structure includes four short double-helical elements and three loops (D, anti-codon, and T loops). Further hydrogen bonds mediate the characteristic L-shaped molecular structure. tRNAs have two regions of fundamental functional importance: the anti-codon, which is responsible for specific mRNA codon recognition, and the 3' end, to which the tRNAs corresponding amino acid is attached (by aminoacyl-tRNA synthetases). tRNAs cope with the degeneracy of the genetic code in two manners: having more than one tRNA (with a specific anti-codon) for a particular amino acid; and 'wobble' base-pairing, i.e. permitting non-standard base-pairing at the 3rd anti-codon position.
Source: Rfam by way of RNAcentral
GCCUGUCUGGCUCAACUGGUAGAGCAUGUGACUCUUGAUCUCAGGGUUGUGGGUUUGAGCUCCACAUUAGGUG